Molecule: ribosomal RNA, 233 nt
Filed under: uncultured bacterium
Lineage: Bacteria
Description: partial 16S ribosomal RNA
Rfam family: Bacterial small subunit ribosomal RNA
Source: RNAcentral
AGUAAAGUGGCGUACGGGUGAGUAACACGUGGAUAAUCUACCCUGGAGUGGGGAAUAACGCUGGGAAACCGGCGCUAAUACCGCAUAAUCCGGAGAGGGCAAAGGAAGCAAUUUCGCUUCAGGAGGAGUCCGCGGCCGAUUAGCUAGUUGGCAGGGUAAGAGCCUACCAAGGCAACGAUCGGUAGCCGGCCUGAGAGGGCACACGGCCACACUGGCACUGAAACACGGGCCAG